GACGAACGCUGGCGGCGUGCUUAACACAUGCAAGUCGAACGGAAAGGCUCUGCUUUUGUGGGGUGCUCGAGUGGCGAACGGGUGAGUAACACGUGAGUAACCUGCCCUCGACUUUGGGAUAACUUCAUGAAACUGGGGCUAAUACCGGAUAGGAGCUCCUGCUGCAUGUUGGGGGUUGGAAAGUUUGGGCGGUUGGGGAUGGACUCGCGGCUUAUCUGCUUGGUGGUGGGGUAGUGGCUUACCAAGGCUUUGACGGGUAGCCGGUCUGAGAGGGUGACCGGCAUACUGCGGAGUGAGAUACGGGAGGGAGUAGUACGGGAGGCAGCAGUGGGGACUAUUGCCCGAUGGAGGGACGCCGGAUGCAGCAACGCGGCGUGCGGGAUGAAGGCCUUCGGGUUGUAAGCAGAUUUCGACUGUGACGAAGCGUGAGUGACGGUAAUGGGUAAGGAAGCACCGGCUAACUACGUG
This 468-nucleotide ribosomal RNA is filed under the name uncultured bacterium. RNAcentral's name for it is "partial 16S ribosomal RNA". It matches the Rfam family "Bacterial small subunit ribosomal RNA", at positions 28 to 507 of the family's 1533-position model. The record is from RNAcentral.